Gigantopelta aegis is the source of this 1865-nucleotide long non-coding RNA. RefSeq lists it as uncharacterized. The record is from RefSeq and is a predicted model, not a curated record. The transcript has 3 exons. Lineage: Eukaryota; Metazoa; Mollusca; Gastropoda; Neomphalida; Peltospiridae.
UUUAAAUUUAAUUUUUUACAACUUAAACUUAAUAUUUUGUUUAAAAUUAUGAGAAAUAAAAACUUACCGACAUGAAAACAGCGUUAUCUACUCGAUUUGGAAGCCGUAACUGUCAGGGGUGAUGGGAAAAGUUAAAAAAAAACAGUAAGAAGAGAUUAACGGACUCUUUCGAUGAACAAGUCAUCAGAAAUACAAUCCAUGAAUGCCAUAACAGUAAUGCGUGUGUCACAAUACCCAGACUACACGCCAUGUUGGAGAAAAGAAAAUCAAAACAGGAUGCACCAAGACACUGGAGAGAACAGUUACAAGGAUGGGCUUUAGAUUGAAAAGGACACUAAACCGCCUUUAAACUGAAGUAAAGUACAGGACAUUAAAAAUUGGCUUGAAAUGAAUGAAAUUGCAUUCGAGGAGGGUAUGAAAAAAACGGAGCUGUUGGACCUGGUUCGCAAAACAGGUUGUAAAUCACAAUAUGUGAUAGACAAAAUUGCCAGUGACAACGGCCAUGAAGUUCUUAGACUCCCUCCUCGUCACUGCGAACUGAACCCCAUUGAACUGAUUUGGGCACAACUGAAAAAUCAUGUUGCGAAAGAAAAUAAUAUGUUUAAAUUAAAGGGGGUGUUAAAUUUAUUCCACGAAUCAAAAAGUUUAAUUUUGAAAGAAAACUGGGAGAAAGCUGUAGUGCAUGUAGAGAAAGUGGAACAGGCUUUGUGUGAACAAGAUGGAGUUCAAGAAAAUGAGAUUGAUAUGGUUGUGGUAUGUUUCGAUGAUGAUAGUGAAUUGGAGACUGAAACUGACUGUGUGGAUUGUGAACGUUGCUAUAGUGAUACAUUUGUAUUAGAUGAUGAUGAUGAUGAUGUUCCAUGUGCCUUGUGUUUGCAGAGAGAUCCUCCAGAUGUGGGUCAUCAUGGCAGUGAGGUUGAGUGGGUGCAGUGUGAAAUGUGCGAUAGGUGGAUGCAUGAAGUCUGUUCAGGGAGAAAGAACAAAAAAGGUUGUUUUGAAUGCAAAAAUUGUUUUUAAAUAAUUUCAGUAAAGCAUGUGGAAGAUUGAAUGUUAAAGGUAUGUUUUAUGACAUGAUCAUUAUGACACUUGGUGUGCGUGCGUGUGUGUGUGUGUGUGUUUAAAAUUACUGGGUUUCGGAAUAACAAAAUCAUAAACAUCAUACUAUACCAAGAACUUUUGAUACUGAGAUAAAAAAAAAAUCGAUUUUCACUACAAAUUGUAAAUAGUACAAAAUAGUACAAUUGUUAACAGCUGAUAAUGUUUCAGAAAUUUUUAUAAAGUGCAGGGAACAUUUUGUUUUCACAAUUGUGAUUAGCUAAUACAAUUUAAUGUUUGAAAGUUGUGUAGCGAUCUCUGAAACUCGCAGCAUGAUGCUGAAUGAAAUGUUCCUUGAAGUCUAAGUAGUUUUAAGAAUAUUCAAAGUAGUUUACUGUGUUAUGACGUGUCUUUAAACUAAUGUUCCUUGAAGUCUAAGUAGUUUUUAAAAUAUUCAAAGUAGUUUACUGUGUUAUGACGUGUCUUUAAACUAAUGUUCAUCGGUUCCUGUUACUACCGAAAUGUUUGUGUAGAGUGAUGUGUGAAUUGUUAAUAUGAUUCCUUAAUCAUGUUUAAAAAAUAUUAUAUUUCAUAUUUAUAAACUUAGUUACAAACUAAUGGAAUACUGUGGUAUGUACAUUCACAUAUAGUAUGGCAUUAUAAUCAUACUGACAAAUAAUUAUUGUUUGAAUGUUUUUCCACUUUCCUAGACCUUGCCGCUAAAACAAUUGAGGCAAGUGAUUAACUUCUCCCGUUAGAAUUAUGGGGAGCCAUUCAAGCUAUUAACAUGAAAACAUAUAAAUUAUUGGUUAAUUAAACGUUCUUGAAUG